RNAcentral lists this ribosomal RNA (663 nucleotides) under uncultured bacterium. RNAcentral describes it as "bacterial SSU rRNA". It matches the Rfam family "Bacterial small subunit ribosomal RNA", at positions 82 to 741 of the family's 1533-position model. The record is from RNAcentral.
AGUUUGCUGACGAGUGGCGGACGGGUGAGUAAUGUAUANGAACUUGCCCAGUAGUGGGGGACAACUUAUGGAAACGUAAGCUAAUACCGCAUAAUCUCUACGGAGGAAAGCAGGGGCUCUUUGGACCUUGCGCUAUUGGAUAGGCCUAUAUUAGAUUAGCUAGUUGGUGAGGUAAUGGCUCACCAAGGCGACGAUCUAUAGCUGGUUUGAGAGAAUGAUCAGCCACACUGGGACUGAGACACGGCCCAGACUCCUACGGGAGGCAGCAGUGGGGAAUAUUGCACAAUGGAGGAAACUCUGAUGCAGCAAUGCCGCGUGUGUGAAGAAGGCCUUAGGGUUGUAAAGCACUUUCAAUAGGGAGGAAAAGCGAGUAGUUAAUACCUGCUCGCCGUGACGUUACCUAUAGAAGAAGGACCGGCUAACUCCGUGCCAGCAGCCGCGGUAAUACGGAGGGUCCGAGCGUUAAUCGGAAUUACUGGGCGUAAAGCGCGCGUAGGCGGAUAAAUAAGUCAGAUGUGAAAGCCCUGGGCUCAACCUAGGAACUGCAUUUGAAACUGUUUAUCUAGAGUAUGGUAGAGGUGAGUGGAAUUUCAGGUGUAGCGGUGAAAUGCGUANAGAUCUGAAGGAACAUCAGUGGCGAAGGCGACUCACUGGGCCAUUACU